GCAACUUGCUUAGAAUCAGCUGUUCUUCAGCGAGCAAGACUGAUGAAAAUAAUUCAGAAUUACAUACUUUGUUGUGAAUUGUGAUCUAAGUCUUUUGUAAAAAAUUAGACACUUCGAACAAAGGAAUCUGUGUUUUAGGAGAUAAGUCAUAUUUCUAUGUUAGGAGCAAUGUUUAAGGGUUUGAUUAUCUUUGGCACAGGAGUAUAUGCAGGAGUUUAUUUAGCACAAAACUAUGAGAUAGAAAAAGUUGAAGAUCCCAAAGUUUUAUUCGAAAAGGCUCAGGCAUUUUUAAAAGCAAAGUUAUCUGAAGUAAAUGACGA
Aricia agestis (brown argus) is the source of this 320-nucleotide long non-coding RNA. RefSeq lists it as uncharacterized. The record is from RefSeq and is a predicted model, not a curated record. The transcript is spliced from 3 exons. NCBI's taxonomy places the organism in Eukaryota, Metazoa, Arthropoda, Insecta, Lepidoptera, Lycaenidae.